This 244-nucleotide unclassified non-coding RNA is filed under the name Ascomycota sp. RNAcentral's name for it is "partial contains small subunit ribosomal RNA, internal transcribed spacer 1, and 5.8S ribosomal RNA". The stretch from base 1 to 47 matches the Rfam family "Eukaryotic small subunit ribosomal RNA", at positions 1785 to 1831 of the family's 1831-position model. The record is from RNAcentral. Lineage: Eukaryota; Fungi; Ascomycota.
AAAGUCGUAACAAGGUCUCCGUUGGUGAACCAGCGGAGGGAUCAUUAGUGAGACUUAGCGCUCCAACCCUUGCGAAUCUACCAUUGCGGCGUUGUUUCGGCGGGUGUGCCAGCGGAUCCGUCCGCCGGCACGCCGCCAGGCCAGCGGAGCCCGCCGGCAGCGCCAAACUCUCAGUUUUAGUGGAAGUCUUCUGAGUGGCAAAACAAAACAAGCAAAACUUUCAACAACGGAUCUCUUGGUUCUG